Molecule: long non-coding RNA, 5411 nt
Filed under: Capsicum annuum
Lineage: Eukaryota; Viridiplantae; Streptophyta; Magnoliopsida; Solanales; Solanaceae
Description: long non-coding RNA (CANN_LNC014610)
Source: RNAcentral
AAAAUUCUAGAAUGAUGAACUAGGUUAAGUUCAUAGGCUAAAUUGAUGGAUUUGGGAUUUAUAAUGCCUAAUGUGGGAAAACUUUUGUAAUAACAUUCAAUUCUACAAAUUAAUAUCCCAAUAGAUAUAACAAACAUACUUGGACCAACUGUUUGGUGCAACAAAUACAUAUUUGCUAGAAGCCUUCAUAGUGGAUCUCACCUCAUUUUGACUUUAAUGGUUUCAUGUUAAACCUACAAGAAAACCAAAAAAAAAUAAAUCAAGACUUUAUAAAGACAAUAUACUUGCAGGAGAAACAUUAAUCAUAAUGUAUAGCGAGACAAGAAGGGUUGUAAUCUACAAUAGCUAUAGAAGCACAAGAGCUUCAACACCAAAUAAAAAGAAGUAGAAUAAAAUCUGCAAUAGAGAAGAAGAUGAUAAGCAAAACAAAGAUGACGGGAAAGAAGAAAAAUAAAAACUUUUCAAAAAUAGAAAGAAGCAAUAAUAUAGAGAAAAGAAAAAGAGGUAGAGUCACAGUAGCGAUUUCAUAUUAGAGAAAAGAAGAAGAAAGUUUGAAAUCAUGACAUGAACAAUGAAAUAAAAUAGACGAGGUACAUUAAACAUCAAUAGUAGAGAAGACGAGGAAGAAGAAGAACAAUACCAAUUUUUUAGAAAAUAGAAGUAGUGAUAACAUUAAAGAAGGUAUAAUAAUAGAGAAAUUUCAAAUAAGCGAGAUGAAGAAAAAUAAUUGAAACAAUAACAUGAUCUUUAAAAAAGUAGACCAACUAGCUUUAAAAAAUAAUUACAACAGCUAUAGAAGCAAAAGAGAAGUGAAAACAAUUAAAAUAAAGAAGAAGAAACACAUAUAUUAUAGAGAAGAAGAAGAAGAAGAAGAAGAAGAAGAAGAAAAAGAAGAAGAAGAAGAAGAAGAAGAAGAAGAAGAAGAAGAAGAAGAAGAAGAUGCUAAUGAUGAUGAGCAGUAAUAACAGGUAAGACGAAAAAAAAGAAGAAGAAGAAAUUUUGGGAAGUAGAAGCAGCAAAGAUAAUACAAAAGAAAAGAGAAAGGUAUAGUUACAAUUACAGUAGUGUUUCAGAUCAUAAAAAAAAAUUAAAAUAAUGAAUAAGAUUUAAAAUAAAUCAAACAAAUUAGCUUAAGUUAGUUAGAAUUGAAACCGUGACAUCACAUUGUCAGGUGCAAGUUACAUUUAAAUUAUUUUUUUAUAAAAAACUCGCUAAUUUGCAUCUAAUUGGUAUAUACUUUCCCAAGAAUAUAUAUAUGCUUCAACAACUCUCAAAAUUUAAUGAAGAAGAUGAUUUCAUCAGACGUAUAAAAUGUGAGAUUUGAUAUAUCCAGAGUGUAGAAGGAUCAUAUAAUGCAAAUACAAUAUCAUAAUAGCAAGAUUUUAUAAUAUCCCGUUCUACUUUCUAUGUUUAAAAAACUAAUUAGCAAGACUUACAAUUUCAAUUUACAAUCACACUUAAUCUUAAUAUUUUAAUAAAAAAUAAAAUUUAAAAUUGAAGGUAAAUUGAAGAUGAGUGUAAGUUAAACACCAAUUAGGCUGCAAUGGACAUCCAACAGUACAAUAAUUAUAAAUGAUAACUUGUAAUAGCCAAAGCUCAAAAAUUAGAAAAUCAAGUUGUAACUCAUUUUUCAUCAUAAAUAUUUAAUAAUCUAAUUAAACAAGUUUUACCAUUUUAGAUUACAAGAACAACUAAUCUUAACAUCUCCAUAAUAAAUAAUAUGAAUUUUGAAGACGAGCAUAAAUUACACUCUUCUUAGGCUACAAAUGGACAUCGAACAGUACAAUAAUUAUGCACAUAAAUAGAAAUCAUUAGUUGAUAAUGCCUAAACAAAUAGAUAACCAAGUUGUAAUAAUAUUUACCAAGUACUUUGUUGUCGUCUAAAAAAUAAUGGACUAUAUGAGAAAAAGAAAGCUUAAUUUGAAGUUUCUAUACUAAACAAAUAGAAAUAUAGAAUCAAACGGGCCAAAAAAUUUAACUAAUUCUUCAAUCCAUAUGAAAAAUCUAAACAGAGACAAACCCAAAAUAAAUUAAACACACAAUUUUUUAGUCCUACAACCCAAUCGACUCCCCCCCCCCCCCCCCCAAAACCCCCAAAAACCCACUUUUAUCUUUAACCUACAACCCACUACUCCUAAUUUCAACGUUCACACAUUAACUAUGAGUAUUUCAAAUACUUUGUACGUGCUUGCGUCAACAAGAAAGAGAGAAUUUAAGAAAAAAAUUAUCAUUGAGAAAAAUGAUGAAAGAUAUAACCUAAUUUACUUUUAAUAUUAUCUGAUAAUGUAUUGAUUUUAAAAUUAUAUAGUACUUUAGCUGGAUAAUGUAGGAGAGAGACCCAGAACAUGUAAUUUGAGAGACAAAAACCUUUCAAUUUUGGUACACCAAGAUGAAAUUAGAAAUUUUUCCGCUUAGAAAGAUGAAAUUUUUUUAGUCUAAUAUGAUUCGAGCCCUUUGUUGAAAUACUAUAGAGUGAUCUGCUGAAAUUUUAGUAUUUAGAGACCGGGUCCUUUUGCCUUUUAUUUUUUUAAAAUAAAAGUGAGCAUUAGGGACUAGAAAAUUAUUUCAUUCCUGUAAUUAUAUCACCAAGGACCUAUUUUAUACUUGUUGCAAAAUCUUGGUCCCUAAUUAUCCUUUUUCUUGUAGUGCGGCAUCAUAGAGUUAGAAUUUGAGGCUAACCACGAUUGGUCCAAAUCUACUCGAACACUAAGAUCUACCUCUUCUAUAAAACUAUAUACUUAGGGAAAAGUAUUAUACAUAACAUAGGACAUAUUGUCACGAUCUGAUUUCUAGAGUCAUGAUUGUGCCUACCUUAUUCUACCAGUAAGCAAGUCAAGCCAUAGCCCGGAAUGAUAGUUAAUGGGCUAAUGGAUGAAAAUAAAAACAAAGACUAUAAAUAAUGAUAAUAGUAGUAAUGUUAAGUGACAAACAAAAAGGAAUCAUAGAUGAUAUAUAAAAAUGAGAGAGAGAAAAGGGACAAAAUAUACAAACGAAUCCCUCCCAAGACUUAGGAAGGUCGAUACUAGACCCACUAUUAAAAGAUACCCAGUGUACUAGAAAGAAUCCAAAAUAUACACAAUAUAUACAAGUAGUCUUGAGUACAAAAUACUAAAUUGAAAAUGAUAAAGGAGGAUCAUCCUCGAACGACAGCAAGCUCACCCUAUUCCGAAUCAAUACUGAAAAAUAGAACCAUGUCAAUGCCAACUGCUAGUGCUCGGAUAUGCAUCAGAAAAAAGAUUCAGAAGUGUAGUAUGAGUACCAACACAAUGGGUACUCAGUAGGCAUUAUCGAUCGACUGAGCUCAAUAAAAAUUAUAACUAAAAUGCGAGGGUGUAAUCUAAGUCAACAGUAAACAUGGAUAGAAAGGUAAACAACUACCAAGCUACGCAAAUAUGAUAACGAAAUAAAUAUAAGUGAUAGAAAAUAAAUAAUGCAGUAAUUAUAAAAAUUUAAAUAAAAUCUAACUGGGCCUCCAUAAGAACACUAGGCACACUGAAGAAGAUAAUUAACCCAACCGUACCCUUAGAAACUGGUGGGACACACAAGAAAUAAUUAAUAAAAAUAAAUAUAAAUAAUCCAUAACUAAAUCCAUCCCUUAAAAUCAUAGUAUCCAUCCAUAUGUGCAUCAUACUUGAACCAACACCAAUGGGUAGUAACAAGAGGCUAGACGUCGGGCUUGAAUCGAUAGGGAUGGAUAAUAACAAGAGGCCAUAUGUCGAAUUAAAACCAAAAAUAGAGGGUAACAAUGAGAGGCCACAUAUAUUAUAUACAACAGAACUCAUAACGUGAUUCCAAAAUCGAACCGGAAUUCAGAGGAAUCAUAAUUCCCAGAACAACCAUAAUCAGUAUGAGAACUCCCAAAACAUUAUAACCAGAUGCCAGACUGAAAUUGGAACUCCUAGUAACCCUGUCCAACUGUAAAAUUAAUACCCUAACCAUACCAUAACCAAUUCUAAAGUGGUACCAAGACUCACAAUAACUGAUAGAAAAAAAGUAUAUGCUGAAUCUAAAUCGAAACUAAAAUAUAUUUAAAUAACCAUUCACAUAUGUUAAUUAAAAAGGGAUGAAUUCAAGGUUCCAAAACUUAAUACCAUGUCCUAAAGUGAUAGAUGUUAUAUCAUACUAAAGGAUAAGAUACUAAAAUAUACUAGAACAGGGUCAUAACCGGAUAAAUAAGGCAUGAUAUAUAUAUUAAAUAGUAUGCAAACUACAAGUACUUGUCCAAAACUAGCAUAGUAGUGCACAAUUACCGUAAAUUAGCUCAAUCUAAAAGUAGGACAAACCUAACCAACCUGGAGGCCAAAAAUAAAAACUUCUCCAAGAAUCUUUCGAAUAGUAUCCCUCUAGAAUCCGAGUUGAAUAAAUAUAGUAGUAUCUUUAAAAUUUCCUUCGUGAUUCAAGAGUUGAUAGCAAGCUUUUAAGAUAAGUUACAGGAAUAGAUUCCCUUAAAACUUAAAUAGUGAAUGAAUUGCACUGAUAUAUCAAAGUUUUCUAUUUCCUAACGUCACUAUUUGUAAUGAAAUCGCACCAUAAUAUUUAUUAUGAUUACACCUCUCACUUUGGUGACAUUUUUGAUGGAUCCCACGUCCAGAGGGUGUGGCAAUACUACCCCUUGCUCUCCGUUAAAUUCACACUCGGGUAGAUAGGUUCGUGAUAAAAUCAAUAUAAUAUUUUGAAUAUAUCAUAAUUAAUAGAAAAUUAUUUCUAAAAUCUCUAUUAUAUAAUAAUAAAAUUUUAACAUAUUUAAAUUUACUAUCUCCUUUUAAAAUAUUAAUAGACCAUAAAAGCUAUUAUAAAGUCAUAUAAAUAUAACAUUAAUUAAAGAAUUUUAUCAAAAUAAAAAAUAUUUUAGAAGGGUAAUAAAUUAUAUUUUUACUAAAUGCCAAUUUAAAUUAAGUAUUCUACAAUAUAUUUGGUAUCACUAAAAUUCUCAAAUGAACCGCGUGAAAUCAAACUAUUAGUUCCAACAAGUCAUAAAUAACUCGGGACAGUUAUAAGAAAUCUCUACACACCAAAAAUAUAUAAAAAUAAGAAAAAUGACCAUAAAGAUAAUUACAUAUACCCGACAUUCACGUUUCGCAACCAUGCAUAAUCACCAUUAUCAAAAGAGCCGAUCCACUCAAGGAACAAAUAUCAACAUAAAAUAUUAUUGAAAUUUAAUUCAUGUGAAUGAAUGUAUAUAUGCAAGAUGUGUGCAUCAUAUCUUUCUCUUUCGAAUCUCAUCAACAUAAUUUUUCACAUCCUGAACAUCAUGAUCAAUAUCGAAUAAUCUAUUGGGUUCUAAGUGAUGAAAAUUGAAUGGAAAAUAGAGAAACAAAUAAAUAGGGAGAAAAGAGCAAAUUGUCCUUUCGCCUUUAAAGAAGAGUAUCUCUCUCACAUUGGUGUGAGAAAGUGAAAUUAUUAUGAUUAAG